Molecule: non-coding RNA, 111 nt
Organism: Acanthosepion pharaonis
Lineage: Eukaryota; Metazoa; Mollusca; Cephalopoda; Sepiida; Sepiidae
Source: the annotation of a GenBank genome assembly
GGCCAAAUCACACUGAAACAUUGGUUCCCAUCCAAUCACUGAAGUUAAGCAAGAUUGAGCCUGAUCAGUAACCUAGUUGGGUGACUGCUCAAGAAUACCAGGUGUUGUAAG